GUAAUAUUCAACCUUUUGUCAUGAAUAUAUGGAUGGAAUGUUAUCUAGAACCUGCAGUAUGAGGUGUGUCACUAAUCUCUGAAGCAUAGGUUGUUUCAGUUAUAUACGUCUUGAAGAGGAUCUGACUAGCCCGCCGUCCAUCACACACCAAGAGGUCCCAUGAACAACCUAUGUCCCCUCUGUGUUAUGCAAGUUAUGUGAGAUAUCAGUAUUCAAGCUAGAUUGUUUGCUAAAAGAUGGUUUAAACUUUCGAUGAGUAUGCAAAAUUCACGACUUUAUUCAUACAAAUGGAGCUCAUUGCAAAAUUAAAGCGUCCUUACAUUGUGGAAUAGAAAUACUCUUAGGUGGAGAAGGGUGCUAUGUGUGCUUUUGUGACUGGCUACUGCAGGGGAGGAGACAUCUAUGUAGCUUGUGAAGAACUCCCGGUUAAAUGUUGCCUUGAAUUUCUUGUGGAUAUUUCAUAUGGUUCCAAGUCCAAAAUAUGGUCGCUAGGUAGGUAUUCGUUUCUAAUAUUCAGUUAUGUGUCUUAUCUCAGUGUCGAACUGUUAUAAUGGCUAAAUAUCUGCAAUCUUCAGGCUACUAGAUCUUUGAUAUGGCUGCACUGAAGCAUGCAUUCAAAGUAUUUGUAAGUAACUAUGUUGGCAUGCUCUUUUAUUUAUAGCUCCUUGCAAGUUGUAACACAUGUGAUGUUUCACCAAAGAUGCAUCUGCGAUUUUAGUAGUUAUAGCUUUGGUACUCGCACCUUUUCAUCGUGGAUCAUCGUUGGUGCCGUGAUGUUGAAGUUAUCAGUAGGUAAUUGCUGAGGUAUGUUCUUGUUUUAUUGGGUCCAUUUGCUUGGGCAUUGCUGGUUUGCUACAACAAUGGUCUCCUCUUUGCCUACAUGUGUGUUCCAUGGCCUACAUGUUUAGUCAGCGGUUACUCCAUGUAGUUUAUUUUCCAUCUUGUUAAAAUAGUCCCCUUUUGCCAUCUAGACAUGACUAGCUAUUUGUAGUGACAUGUAAUUUGCCUCUUGUCAACUUACUAGAUUUUACCCAGUUUGAGUUUGGCAGCUCCUUCAAAGCAAAUGGCUUGUAAGAAUUACUUAUGUAACCUCAUUUAGUUCCUAUUCACAGGAUGGUGCUUGUGAUACCUUGGUCAUCUACAUUACUGCUGCCAUUGCAAUAUCUUGCAUUUUGUGAGAUUUCAUUGUGGAACUAAACAUAAAUCGAUUCUAAUGUCAUUCUCCAUGAAACCCUUUUAUGGAACUGCAUACAACCAAUCUUAAUAACUUAAGUAGGAAUAUUUUUUUAUCUGAGAGAGAAUUAAGUUUGCGAAAUUCCAGUCGUGUUAUUCUCUGAAAUUUAUAGCAUGUAUACUAUGUAUCAGAAGUACUGCUAUCCAUGUGCAAGACACACAUGCAUUCCGGUUUCCCCAGUGAUGUGCUUCAUCUAUCACAGCUAGGAGGAGCUAUGAAAGGCCUAUUUGAUCAGGAUUACAACAGCAAGAGAUGUAUAUAUGCAAGCCAAUAUUAGUUCAAAACUUAAGCAAGCAUGUUUUGUCUAGGUCAUGCUUUAAGUCAUCGUGUACUAGAUUUGAUAAAAUAUCGGCCAAGCAUUUUUCAUGAUUUUAUUGCCAAUGUAAAGUGACAUGUCUACUCAUGGUAUUGGCUUCUUUUCAAAAUUGAAUGUAUUGUGCCGUUUUGGGCUAGAACACAA
Lolium rigidum is the source of this 1694-nucleotide long non-coding RNA. RefSeq lists it as uncharacterized. Lineage: Eukaryota; Viridiplantae; Streptophyta; Magnoliopsida; Poales; Poaceae. The transcript is spliced from 4 exons. The record is from RefSeq and is a predicted model, not a curated record.